UGCAAAAUGCAGAAUUUCGUGAAUCAAUGAAUGGUUGAAUGUUGUUUGUAUCUUCGGGAUAUGCUUGAAGUUGUGUUUGAUUCAGUGCUGUU
RNAcentral lists this ribosomal RNA (92 nucleotides) under Coolia canariensis. RNAcentral's name for it is "partial 5.8S ribosomal RNA". The record is from RNAcentral. Lineage: Eukaryota; Dinophyceae; Peridiniales; Ostreopsidaceae.